Molecule: ribosomal RNA, 511 nt
Filed under: uncultured archaeon
Lineage: Archaea
Description: bacterial SSU rRNA
Rfam family: Archaeal small subunit ribosomal RNA
Source: RNAcentral
ACCUCUGCAAUAGGCGAAAGCCUGACAGGGUUACUCUGAGUGAUUUCCGUUAAGGAGAUCUUUUGGCACCUCUAAAAAUGGUGCAGAAUAAGGGGUGGGCAAGUCUGGUGUCAGCCGCCGCGGUAAUACCAGCACCCCGAGUGGUCGGGACGUUUAUUGGGCCUAAAGCAUCCGUAGCCGGUUCUACAAGUCUUCCGUUAAAUCCACCUGCUUAACAGAUGGGCUGCGGAAGAUACUAUGGAGCUAGGAGGCGGGAGAGGCAAGCGGUACUCGAUGGGUAGGGGUAAAAUCCGUUGAUCCAUUGAAGACCACCAGUGGCGAAGGCGGCUUGCCAGAACGCGCUCGACGGUGAGGGAUGAAAGCUGGGGGAGCAAACCGGAUUAGAUACCCGGGUAGUCCCAGCUGUAAACGAUGCAGACUCGGUGAUGAGUUGGCUUUAUGCCAACUCAGUGCCGCAGGGAAGCCGUUAAGUUUGCCGCCUGGGGAGUACGGUCGCAAGACUGAAACUUAA